CCUACGGGGGGCAGCAGUGGGGAAUAUUGCACAAUGGGGGAAACCCUGAUGCAGCGACGCCGCGUGAGUGAAGAAGUAUUUCGGUAUGUAAAGCUCUAUCAGCAGGGAAGAAGAAAGACGGUACCUGACUAAGAAGCCCCGGCUAACUACGUGCCAGCAGCCGCGGUAAUACGUAGGGGGCAAGCGUUAUCCGGAUUUACUGGGUGUAAAGGGAGCGUAGACGGCUGUGCAAGUCUGAAGUGAAAGCCCAGGGCUCAACCCUGGGACUGCUUUGGAAACUGUGGAGCUAGAGUGCUGGAGAGGUAAGUGGAAUUCCUAGUGUAGCGGUGAAAGGCGUAGAUAUUAGGAGGAACACCGGUGGCGAAGGCGGCUUGCUGGACGGUAACUGACGUUGAGGCUCGAAAGCGUGGGGAGCAAACAGGAUUAGAUACCCCUGUAGUC
RNAcentral lists this ribosomal RNA (441 nucleotides) under uncultured bacterium. RNAcentral describes it as "partial 16S ribosomal RNA". It matches the Rfam family "Bacterial small subunit ribosomal RNA", at positions 338 to 795 of the family's 1533-position model. The record is from RNAcentral.